RNAcentral lists this ribosomal RNA (1724 nucleotides) under uncultured Tintinnida. RNAcentral's name for it is "eukaryotic LSU rRNA". The stretch from base 314 to 1724 matches the Rfam family "Eukaryotic large subunit ribosomal RNA", at positions 1 to 1462 of the family's 3401-position model. Lineage: Eukaryota; Ciliophora; Spirotrichea; Tintinnida. The record is from RNAcentral.
ACGAUGAAGAACGCAGCGAAGUGCGAUAAGCAAUGCGAAUUGCAGAGCCGAGAGUCAUCAGAUUUUUGAACGUAACUGACACCGGAGAGUUCUCUCUUCGGUAUGCUUCUUUCAGCGUGUGAUUUUCUCAUCACCCAAACCUUAAUGCGAUAGAUGCCCUUCUAUUGCUAAGCUUGAAAGCACUCUGAACCCUGCAGCGAAAGUCUUCGGACUGACGCACUCAAUGCAGUAGUCACAUUCUCAAAUGUGAACUCAUUGAGCGUAGAGUCAGUGCAUGUUUACAUGCCAGUGCUUGGACACUUAAAUUUUAUCAGCACCUGAGAUGAAGUAGGAGGACCCGCUGUACUUAAGCAUAUCAUUAAGCGGAGGAAAAGAAACUAACUAGGAUUCCCUCAGUACGGGCGACGGAAGCGGGAAAAGCCCACAUUGGUAAUCUCCGAGCUUGGGCUCGGCGAAUUGUAAUCUGAAGAUCGCUAGUCUAAUUGGAUCAGGCGUCAAAGUGCGCACGAGCGCGCCGCCAUAGAGGGUGAGAGCCCCGUACGACGCAGGAUCCUACCAAGGCUGGUGUUCGAAGAGUCGUGUACUUUGAUACUAGUGCACUAAGCGGGAGAUAAACUUCUUCUAAGGCUAAAUAUAAGUAGGAAACCGAUAGCGAACAAGUACUGUGAAGGAAAGAUGAAAAGCACUUUGGAAAGAAAGUUAAAAGACUUGAAAUCGUUGAGGCGGACCCGGUAGAAAUGUAUUCUAGCGAAGCGCUCUGGGAAGCCUCUACGAGGGCCACUUGAGCGCUAGCCGAGACAAGAUGGAGUCGCCUGAUGCCAGAGGCUGUGUGCGAGCGCGCUUGCGUGAGCGCAUGCUAGUCGGGUGUUAGGCGGCUUGAGGGGCCUUGAGCGAUCUUGUCAAAAUGGUUUUUACCGACUCGUCUUGAAACACGAACCAAGGAGUCUAAGACUAACGCGAGUAUGGUGGUGGAGAAACCAACAUGCGAAAUGAAAGUAAAUGAUGCCAAGCUCCCUGCAGCAUCGACCGACUUUUUUCUUCUGGAAGAGGUUUGAGUAAGAGCGUUAUUCUUAGGACCCGAAAGAUGGUGAACUAUGCCUGUGUAGGGUGAAGUCAGGGGAAACUCUGAUGGAAGCUCGUAGCGAUACUGACGUGCAAAUCGUUCGUCGAACAUGGGUAUAGGGGCGAAAGACUAAUCGAACCAUCUAGUAGCUGGUUCCCUCCGAAGUUUCCCUCAGGAUAGCUGGGACAAGUGCGCAGUUUUAUUAGGUAAAGCGAAUGAUUAGAGGCAUCGGGGUUAAAAUGACCUUGACCUAUUCUCAAACUUUAAAUUGGUAAGAACUCCCGUCUUUUCUUAAUUGAAGCAGGAGGUUCAAUGCGUGUCCUUAGUGGGCCAUUUUUGGUAAGCAGAACUGGCGAUGAGGGAUGCUCCUAACGUCGGGUUAAGGUGCCAAACUACACGCUCAUCAGAAACUACAAAGGGUGUUAGUUUAUGAAGACAGCAGGACGGUGGCCAUAGAAGUCGGAACCCGCUAAGGAGUGUGUUACAACUCACCUGCCGAAUGAACUAGUCCCGAAAAUGGAUGGCGCUAAAGCGUGUGACCGAUACCCGACCAUUGGUGCGAGAGUUAUGCAUCAAUGAGUAGGAGGGCGUGGGCGUCGUGGCGAAGCCUCUAGCGUGAGCUUGGGUUGAACGGCGUCUAGUGCAGAUCUUGGUGGUAGUA